RNAcentral lists this ribosomal RNA (444 nucleotides) under uncultured bacterium. Its description in RNAcentral is "bacterial SSU rRNA". It matches the Rfam family "Bacterial small subunit ribosomal RNA", at positions 109 to 510 of the family's 1533-position model. The record is from RNAcentral.
AGUAACACGUUGGGUAACCUGACCCCGAUGACCGGGACAACCCGGAGGAAACUGCGGGCUAAUACCGGAUGUUCUCGCUUUCUCUCAAGGGAUUGGAGCAAAGUAUAGGCUUUCGGGCCUUCGCUAGUUCGGGACCGGGCCCAGCGGCCCAUUAGCUUGUUGGUGGGGUAACGGCGCUACCUAAGGCGACGAUGGGUAGCUGGUCUGAGAGGACGAUCAGCCACACGUGGGACUGAGACACUGGCCCAGACUCCUACGGGAGGCAGCUACGUGGGGAAUCUUGCGCAAUUGCGCGAAAGCGUGACGCAGCAACGCCGCGUGGGGGAAGAAGGCCUUCGGGUUGUAGAACCCCUUUUCAGUCUCGGGACGAAUGCUUCGUCGGUUAAUAGCCUGGCUGGAGUGACGGUACCUUCACAAUGGAAGCCCCGGCUAAUCUACGUGCCA